RNAcentral lists this ribosomal RNA (520 nucleotides) under uncultured Glomeromycotina. Its description in RNAcentral is "SSU rRNA". It matches the Rfam family "Eukaryotic small subunit ribosomal RNA", at positions 569 to 1089 of the family's 1831-position model. Lineage: Eukaryota; Fungi; Glomeromycota. The record is from RNAcentral.
AGCAGCCGCGGUAAUUCCAGCUCCAAUAGCGUAUAUUAAAGUUGUUGCAGUUAAAAAGCUCGUAGUUGAAUUUCGAGACCGGCUUACUGGUCGUGCUUUUGUACGUACUGGUAUAAUCGGUUUCUCCUUUCUGACGAACUAUAAUGCCAUUAAUUUGGUGUUAUAGGGAAUCAGGACUGUUACUUUGAAAAAAUUAGAGUGUUUAAAGCAGGCUCACGCUUGAAUACAUUAGCAUGGAAUAACGGAAUAGGACGUUUGAUUCUAUUUUGUUGGCUUCUAGGAUCGACGUAAUGAUUAAUAGGGAUAGUUGGGGGCAGUUAGUAUUCAAUUGUCAGAGGUGAAAUUCUUGGAUUUAUUGAAGACUAACUACUGCGAAAGCAUUUGCCAAGGAUGUUUUCAUUAAUCAAGAACGAAAGUUAGGGGAUCGAAGACGAUCAGAUACCGUCGUAGUCUUAACCAUAAACUAUGCCGACUAGGGAUCGGAUGAUGUUAAUUUUUUAAUGUACUCAUUCGGCGUCCU